Long non-coding RNA from Solanum tuberosum (potato), 829 nucleotides. RefSeq lists it as uncharacterized. The transcript has 2 exons. The record is from RefSeq and is a predicted model, not a curated record. Lineage: Eukaryota; Viridiplantae; Streptophyta; Magnoliopsida; Solanales; Solanaceae.
UGCAUUAUACAAUCAGCAUUCCAAUACCAAAACCGACCCCACCCCAUGUGCUUUCUUCUUCUUCCAUACAAAUCAAACUACUAAUUCAAAAACCCACCAGCAAUAUCAAUACAAACAGCAGUACCUAACCCCACCCCAUGUGUUUUUUCUUCUUCCUUGCAAAUCCAGAAAAUCCCAACAAACCAGUAAAGGUCAACACCUGCAGCAGCCGCAUCACAUCUCCUUUUCCCAUUUUUCAGGGAUUUCCAAAUCUCUUCCACUGAUUUCCUUGGAAAAGAGGGAAGAAAUUCAAAAGAUUUUGCAUUUUUGCUGAACUUUUCCCCCCCUAAAUCGACCCCAAAUUUCCUCUAUAUAAACCUCCAUUUUUAUUUAGUGUUGGGGUGGGGAAAAGAGAGGAGGAUUAAGGAAAGUGGGAGACAAGAGAUUUUACAUUCUAAAAAAUAGAAGUUAAUUUUUAAAUUGAGAGGACGAAAACCCGAUCGCUAUUUUUUUCUGUAUUGAUUCUCUUCUUGCUCGAGUUAAGGUCACAGUGGUGUAAAAGCUUUAGGGUCAAGCUUGUCGUCUCAGUUUGCUGCUCCGGAAAAGACCCAAAAAUUCUCCGAGUCUACCUCAUCAACUGGAUCGUGAAGUGAGAGGAAAGCAAGUAUACAAGUCUUGAAACCCUGAAAAUUUGGUUGUAUACAUCCGAUAUACACUGACAUACAACAAGUGUAUACAAAAUGGAAAUGAGGCCAAAACCCAAAUACAACUGCAGGAAGGGCCCAAAUUAAAUUUCUCCUUUGCUCUUAACCUAUUUAAUUGUGAUUAUUUAUUGUUAGUUUUUCUUUUA